CAGGGUUUAGUUUAAUUUAGAAUAGUGGCUUUGGGGGCUGUAGGUGAUUUUUAUCUGUCCUGA
This 63-nucleotide transfer RNA is filed under the name Parajapyx emeryanus. Its description in RNAcentral is "tRNA-Pro". Lineage: Eukaryota; Metazoa; Arthropoda; Diplura; Dicellurata; Parajapygidae. The record is from RNAcentral.